RNAcentral lists this ribosomal RNA (414 nucleotides) under Triticum aestivum (bread wheat). RNAcentral's name for it is "partial small subunit ribosomal RNA". The record is from RNAcentral. Lineage: Eukaryota; Viridiplantae; Streptophyta; Magnoliopsida; Poales; Poaceae.
AUGGGACGAACCACAGUAAAGCCUAUUUGGAAUAAGAUAUGGAAGUUAUCUUGCCCGGGAAAAGUAAUAAAAAUUAUAUGGUGUACGCUGCAUAGUGCACUUCCAUGUCGAGAUACGCUUGCAAAUAAACAUAUGAAGAUCUCGCCCAUUUGUCCUACAUGCUCAAAGGACCUAGAAGAUACAAAGCACAUGCUUUUCCUUUGUAGAUAAUCAAAGGAGGACUGGAAAAGGCUUGGGUUGGAUGACAUUAUUGAUAAAGCCUGUAAGGUAGAUCGUGCUGGAUAAGCGGUGUUGGAGUAUUUGCUACUUCUACCGGACCAAGAAUUGUUGAUUUUGGGCCAUUACAAUGUACGCAAAAUGAUUGUUGUCUCAGCAUGGUACCUAUGGUGGGAAAGACAAAAAAUUGGUGCAUAA